CCUACGGGAGGCAGCAGUGGGGAAUAUUGGACAAUGGGGGAAACCCUGAUCCAGCGACGCCGCGUGAGUGAAGAAGUAUUUCGGUACGUAAAGCUCUAUCAGCAGGAAAGAAAAUGACGGUACCUGACUAAGAAGCCCCGGCUAACUACGUGCCAGCAGCCGCGGUAAUACGUAGGGGGCAAGCGUUAUCCGGAUUUACUGGGUGGAAAGGGAGCGUAGACGGCAGCGCAAGUCUGGAGUGAAAUGCACGGGCCCAACCCCGGAACUGCUCUGGAAACUGUGAAGCUAGAGUGAAGGAGAGGUAAGCGGAAUUCCUGGUGUAGCGGUGAAAUGCGUAGAUAUCAGGAGGAACACCGGAGGCGAAGGCGGCUUACUGGACUUUAACUGACGUUGAGGCUCGAAGGCGUGGGGAGCAAACAGGAUUAGAUACCCCUGUAGUC
RNAcentral lists this ribosomal RNA (440 nucleotides) under uncultured bacterium. RNAcentral's name for it is "partial 16S ribosomal RNA". It matches the Rfam family "Bacterial small subunit ribosomal RNA", at positions 338 to 795 of the family's 1533-position model. The record is from RNAcentral.